GGUAUUUUUCUGCUUGAAUGCAUUAGAGUGUUAGAAAUUGAUCAGCAUAACUGUGGGGUUCCACUUCCAUGUAGGGUUUGCUGUACUUACCCCUGCUUAACAGUUAGCGCUCCAUGGGUGGAUACCAUAUAGAGCUCUGAAUUCUAAGCAUUACAUAGUUACUGAUGCUGCUGAUUGCAUGGGCUGCCCAAUCACUGUUCUCAGCACACUCGCACUGGAAUGUAUGCCAAGCUCUCGAGAUUCACUUGCAGAGGAGGAGAUAGAAGGAACACUGCAAUGACGGUCAUCUCUCAAGAGCGAGAGGCCUGAAAUCGUAUCCAUUACUCAUUUUUCACCAUUACAGCCCGCAGCACCUGCUACAGUGUGGCAUCAGAGGAUGAAAAAGAGGCUGCCUGCGAUUGAUGUAUGAAAGGUUAAGAAAAUGACCACCACAAUAUUGUAAAUCCUGACUGGGUCUGAAAUAAAGAUGGAAAUUCUGGCGAGUGUUCUUUGAAGUAUUC
Pseudophryne corroboree (corroboree frog) is the source of this 500-nucleotide long non-coding RNA. RefSeq lists it as uncharacterized. NCBI's taxonomy places the organism in Eukaryota, Metazoa, Chordata, Amphibia, Anura, Myobatrachidae. The record is from RefSeq and is a predicted model, not a curated record. The transcript has 3 exons.